This 301-nucleotide ribosomal RNA is filed under the name uncultured bacterium. Its description in RNAcentral is "partial 16S ribosomal RNA". It matches the Rfam family "Bacterial small subunit ribosomal RNA", at positions 509 to 807 of the family's 1533-position model. The record is from RNAcentral.
CAGUCGCCGCGGGAAAACGUAGGUGGCAAGCGUUGUCCGGAAUUAUUGGGCGUAAAGGGCUCGCAGGCGGUUUCUUAAGUCUGAUGUGAAAGCCCCCGGCUCAACCGGGGAGGGUCAUUGGAAACUGGGAAACUUGAGUGCAGAAGAGGAGAGUGGAAUUCCACGUGCAGCGGUGAAAUGCGUUGAGAUUGGAAAGAACACCAACGGUGAAAGCACUCUGCUGGGCCGACACUGACACUGAGAGACGAAAGCUAGGGGAGCAAAUGUGAUUAGAUACCCGCGUAGUCCCUGUCUCUUAUAC